CACGGGUGAGUAACACGUAUCCAACCUGCCUCAUACUCGGGGAUAGCCUUUCGAAAGAAAGAUUAAUAUCCGAUAGCAUAUAUUUCCCGCAUGGGUUUUAUAUUAAAGAAAUUCGGUAUGAGAUGGGGAUGCGUUCCAUUAGUUUGUUGGCGGGGUAACGGCCCACCAAGACUACGAUGGAUAGGGGUUCUGAGAGGAAGGUCCCCCACAUUGGAACUGAGACACGGUCCAAACUCCUACGGGAGGCAGCAGUGAGGAAUAUUGGUCAAUGGACGCGAGUCUGAACCAGCCAAGUAGCGUGAAGGAUGACUGCCCUAUGGGUUGUAAACUUCUUUUAUAUGGGAAUAAAGUGGUCCACGUGUGGAUUUUUGUAUGUACCAUAUGAAUAAGGAUCGGCUAACUCCGUGCCAGCAGCCGCGGUAAUACGGAGGAUCCGAGCGUUAUCCGGAUUUAUUGGGUUUAAAGGGAGCGUAGGCGGAUUGUUAAGUCAGUUGUGAAAGUUUGC
This 505-nucleotide ribosomal RNA is filed under the name uncultured bacterium. RNAcentral's name for it is "bacterial SSU rRNA". It matches the Rfam family "Bacterial small subunit ribosomal RNA", at positions 100 to 605 of the family's 1533-position model. The record is from RNAcentral.